AAAGCUCUCAGUGUUUGGUCUGGACAGACCCCGUAGAGACUGAGAGAAAGAGAUGGUUCCUGCCCUUGAUGGGCUCACAGUCUAGUGAGGGCUGCCCACUGAUGCAUCUCCAGGGCUUGUACACUCGAUGACUAUUUGUUGAAUGAAAGAACAAAUGAAGACACUGCAUUAUAAUGUGUAGGUGCCAGAGCAGAAGGACAAAGCCAGUGAGGAGUGAGAUGCCCAGAGGGCAAGGGAGAUGAGGAAGAGCAGGAGCUGAAGAAGUGGCCCAAGGAGAGGACCAGAGCCGUCUGGAAGCAAUGUCUAAACCACCCAUCAGUGGUCCCACAAGUGGUGUUUGGUACUGGAGCAGCCAGUAUAUUCUAGAGCAGCCUCAUAUUCUGGUGAUUUCCUUCUCUGGGGACCAUGGCCAUGGACUUAACAAUGAAGAUGGUUGAGUUGAGAGCAAACAGCUAAAGAAUGAUAGGGGAAAACACUUCUUCCCCACUUCUGAUGUUUCCUUCUGUGUUAAAGAAACUCAAUUUGAUUUCCGGCCUCUCUGCUCCAGGAGAGGUAGAGUGACUUCUCUGAUCUGGAGCUGUGGGAAGAACAAACUGGGCAUGACUGAAUCACAUUCACCCUUCCUCCUCUUGGGGAUGAGCUGCCCUCAGGAAGCAGGUGUUCCUCUUGGUUCUUCUAGGGGAAGGCUUGACCCAUCAAACCCAACUGCCUGCAUCAGGUUGGAGAGGAGAAAACUGAAGUGGAGAGCAGUUAAGGAACAUGCUUGGGGUCCCGUGACCACUGAGUGGAUGAGUCAGAAGUCAACCCCUGCAUUAUCUGCCUCUGGGAGCUCAGCCCUGAGCACGUGGCUACCUGCAGCAAAGCAGAACUGCAUAGGAGCACAGAUGAGUUGAGACCAAGGAUGCUAAUUAGGCUUGGCUCCCUCAGCGUGAUAAAGCAAACUGACCAAUCUACUCUUUGGAAGCAGAAGAUGGGAAAGAGGCCACUUCUGAGAUGACUGUGCACCCAGAGACAGACUCUUGUUUCAUGUAACUUGUCUGUGAAAAUUCCUCUAGAUGAAUGCAGGAGGGAAUCUGGGCAAGUCCUAGAGCAGGAUAGAGAUGUUUGAAAAUCCUUUCAGAGUUAACUUAGACUAAGCAACGUAGAUGCCUCUCCCAUCCGCCCCAUUUCUGCAAAUUUCUGCCAAAAAAUAUGACCCUCUGUCUCACAGAAUUCUUAGUGUGCUGGAAGACUCCAGAAUGAUAUGCAGAGGAAGUAUUGCUGCUUCUCACAGCGGACCAUUCAGAACCUCAUGGACACUUUUCUUUUGAUUAUUUUCUUGUGGAAUUAUUUUUUUUUAUUAAUUUAAUUAUUUUUAUUGCAGUAACAUUGGUUUAUAACACUAUAUAAAUUUUGGGUGUACAUCAUUAUAUUCCGAUUUCUAUGUAGAUUACAUCAUGUUCACCACCCAAAGACUAAUUGCAAUCC
This 1467-nucleotide long non-coding RNA is filed under the name Equus caballus (horse). RNAcentral's name for it is "lncRNA (ENSECAG00000054096.1)". The record is from RNAcentral. Lineage: Eukaryota; Metazoa; Chordata; Mammalia; Perissodactyla; Equidae.